This 253-nucleotide ribosomal RNA is filed under the name uncultured bacterium. Its description in RNAcentral is "partial 16S ribosomal RNA". It matches the Rfam family "Bacterial small subunit ribosomal RNA", at positions 524 to 776 of the family's 1533-position model. The record is from RNAcentral.
UACGGAGGGUGCAAGCGUUAUCCGGAUUCACUGGGUUUAAAGGGUGCGUAGGAGGGCAGGUAAGUCAGUGGUGAAAUCCCCAAGCUUAACUUGGGAACUGCCAUUGAUACUAUCUGUCUUGAAUACCGUGGAGAUGAGCGGAAUAUGUCAUGUAGCGGUGAAAUGCUUAGAUAUGACAUAGAACACCAAUUGCGAAGGCAGCUCGUUACACGAAUAUUGACUCUGAGGCACGAAAGCGUGGGGAUCAAACAGG